AUGACCUACGGGGGGCAGCAGUGGGGAAUAUUGCGCAAUGGACGAAAGUCUGACGCAGCGACGCCGCGUGAGGGAUGAAGGUUUUCGGAUCGUAAACCUCUGUCAGGAGGGAAGAAAGCGCAUGGCGCCAAUCAGCCAUGCGUUGACGGUACCUCCAAAGGAAGCGCCGGCUAACUCCGUGCCAGCAGCCGCGGUAAUACGGAGGGCGCGAGCGUUAAUCGGAAUGAUUGGGCGUAAAGGGUGCGUAGGCGGCCUGCUAAGUCUGGAGUGAAAGGUACCGGCUCAACCGGUACAGGCUCUGGAAA
Molecule: ribosomal RNA, 305 nt
Filed under: uncultured bacterium
Lineage: Bacteria
Description: bacterial SSU rRNA
Rfam family: Bacterial small subunit ribosomal RNA
Source: RNAcentral